UCGCCGUACCACCUCCAAGCCCCCUUGCCUGGGUUCGUCCGCGGAUACGGCAACGGGGCCGUGGCAUCGGCCGCAAGGCCGCUGCCACCGGGCCGGAUCCGGAAACGGGCCGGCCUCCCGCGUUUGGACUGGAGCGACAACAUGGCAACC
RNAcentral lists this non-coding RNA (150 nucleotides) under Lysobacteraceae bacterium. Its description in RNAcentral is "Xanthomonadaceae bacterium MoCo sequence". It matches the Rfam family "Molybdenum/Tungsten riboswitch aptamer (Moco RNA motif)". Lineage: Bacteria; Pseudomonadati; Pseudomonadota; Gammaproteobacteria; Lysobacterales; Lysobacteraceae. The record is from RNAcentral.